AUAAAGAGUUACAUAUAUUUGUUAGGAAUGGCCAAGUCGGGUGUGUUAACCAUCCUUCUUGUGGUGUUCGUCAUCUCAUCAGACAUUGUUCAAGUAACGAGCGGUCUCAAUUGCUGCUUUGACAAUAAUAUUGGACCAUGUAACGACGGAGAUUGUAAUCAACGCUGCUUGCAAAGUAAUUGCGGCAAAGGAGGCAAAUGCAAAAGCAUAAGCUCAAAAGUAUAUUGUCACUGCUUUUGCUAGCAAUCCAAACCUAAACCUCUCAACUUAUUAUGUUGUUUGGUCUUUAUUAUCCAAUUCAAUAAAAAUAUGAAAAUUCAUUAUACUUGAGCC
This is a long non-coding RNA of Ipomoea nil (Japanese morning glory), 333 nucleotides long. RefSeq lists it as uncharacterized. NCBI's taxonomy places the organism in Eukaryota, Viridiplantae, Streptophyta, Magnoliopsida, Solanales, Convolvulaceae. The transcript is spliced from 2 exons. The record is from RefSeq and is a predicted model, not a curated record.